GGCGCUCAAGGUCAUCCCCCCCUGACCUUGGGCGUCGACGGCCCCGGCAUCCCCCCGCCGGGGCCGUCCCCU
Molecule: regulatory RNA element, 72 nt
Organism: Ornithinimicrobium sp. CNJ-824
Lineage: Bacteria; Bacillati; Actinomycetota; Actinomycetes; Micrococcales; Ornithinimicrobiaceae
Rfam family: 6C RNA
Source: Rfam